GACGAACGCUGGCGGCGCGCUUAACACAUGCAAGUCGAACGGAAAGGCCUGCUUUCCCUUGUGGAUUGCGGGUACUCGAGUGGCGAACGGGUGAGUAACACGUGAGUGAUCUGCCCCCAACUUGGGUAUAAGCCUGGGAAACUGGGUCUAAUUCCCGAUAGGACUGCAGGGUGGUGCCUGUGGUGGAAAACGAUUUUCUAGUGGUUGGGGAUGAGCUCGCGGCCUAUCAGCUUGUUGGUGGGGUAAUGGCCUACCAAGGCGGCGACGGGUAGCCGGCCUGGGAGGGUGGACGGCCACGUUGGGACUGAGAUACGGCCCAGACGCCUACGGGAGGCAGCAGUCGGGAAUAUUGCACGAUGGGCGGAAGCCUGAUGCAGCGACGCCGCGUGAGGGAUGACGGCCUUCGGGUUGUAAACUCCUUUCGGCCGCGAGGAAGCCACCUGGUUGGAAGGUUGGUGACGGUAGUGGUAGAAGAAGCACCGGCUAACUACGUG
Molecule: ribosomal RNA, 494 nt
Filed under: uncultured bacterium
Lineage: Bacteria
Description: partial 16S ribosomal RNA
Rfam family: Bacterial small subunit ribosomal RNA
Source: RNAcentral